RNAcentral lists this long non-coding RNA (2640 nucleotides) under Homo sapiens (human). Its description in RNAcentral is "non-protein coding lnc-UBE2N-7:1". The record is from RNAcentral. Lineage: Eukaryota; Metazoa; Chordata; Mammalia; Primates; Hominidae.
GAUGCUCAGUAAAUAUUUAUUGAAUGAGUGAGUGAAUGAAUGAUUGAAAAAAUGAAUAACUAAAUGAAGGAAAUAAAUAUAAAGACAGAGAAGUUAAAGAUAAUGCAAAGUUUCAAUCUGGGUUAGAGUAGAAAAACUGAAAUGAAAAAAAACUGAACGAAGGAAAAAACUGAAUUGUGUUCAGUAGAGUUGUAAAUUAAGUACAUUUUUCAUGAAUGUAGUAGAGCAUAACUGUCCAUUAAAACCCAGCAUUUAUUCUGGUAUUUUCGUUAUACAGAAAUUUGCUACAGAAAAAGGCCUCAUCCUAGAAAGAGGUUGCAUUCUAAAGCAGGGUUUGCAAACCAGUUGUCUGGAAUUUACAAUAGAAUUUUCCUCAGAAGUAAAUUAAAAUUGGUGAUUAGGUACCCAAUUUAUCACACAAAAGUCCAUUUACUCUCUAAUGUGCCUGAAAAGCUUCAAGUCUGAUUAAAAACUGGUAGAAAAUAAUACCAUUUAAUAUUAUUGAAAUAUUGAAUGUGAACAUAAUUUAUUUAUCUUGAAUAUUGACACUGGAGAAAAGACAGAUUUAAUUUUAGCAAGUGAGAAAACCCAAGAGAUGUUUGUGAAGAUCAGAAGAACUUCCGGUCAUUCAGAAACUUUUUGAGGUUAGUAGCCCUAACUCUUUAAUAUGGUCAGUCCUCUGUACCCGUGGGUUUCCCAUCCACGGAUCCAACCAACCACAGAACGAAAAUAUUUGGGGGAGGGAAAAAAAAGCAAUAAAAAAUAACAAUACAAUACUAAUAAAUAAUACAAACCUUUAAAAUAUAGUAUAACAACUAUUUACAUAGUAUUUACAUGUAUCAGGUAUUAUUAAGUAAUUUAGAGAUGAUUUAAGGUAUAUGUGAGGGUGUAUGCCGGUUAUAUGCAAAUACUAUACCGUUUCAUAUAAGAGAUUUAAGCAUCUUCAGAUUUUGGUAUCCUUGGCAGGGCUUUUGAGGGGGCAGGGGCGGGAGUCCUGGGAUCAAUCCCUGAAGAUACUGAGGGAUGAAUUAUGUAUAUUUCACUUCAAGGCUUGAGACAGUCUUCUGGAAGCCCAAGAGUUGGUCUGUUAUAGAAUGGUUGCCUGUCACGCCUUGGACGUAAUAAAACCCAUGGCCUGCCCAACGCAGCUUCAAACUGGAUAUCUGGGGGACUUUCAGCCAUUACCCAGGCUCAAUGAUGCACCUCUGCUUGAGACAUCUGAUUACCCCAACCCUCCUCCUUGACUAUCAAGACCAGAGAUGUGCCCCACUUUAAGAGAGAUCCAGGAAAACCCAAAUGUGCAAGAUGGAUAGAUUAGGGCCGGAUCAUUCAUGCACCAAGAUUCUUUUAAUUUUACCAAAGAAUCUAAGAAUUUCCUUAGUAUAUUAUAGCUUUUUUGUUUCCUUUACUUUUUUCUUAAUUGCCUGACAGAUGAAAAUAAAGCUCAAUGGCACUCUUAUCUAUUGAGGAUCAAUUGGAAAUAAGAAUAAUCUACGUAAAUGGGAAAAAUGACUUGCAAAAACACACCCUAUGCCCAUCAUCUUCUGGGAACACAUCUGUUUGUUAGCUGGGAAGCAGAGCGAAGACAGCCUUCCAGAUCCCUUGAUAAUGAAAAUUCAUCCAAAGGGUUAUGAUGAUGAUGAUGAUGGCUGGCAUACACCAGAUUCCUGUUUCUCCAUGACAACCAACAUCUAAAAACCCAACUCAAAACUCUUCGAUCAUAGGGUAAUGUUCAAAGAUCCAUAGCUAAAUCAAACAGCAUGGAUGGGAGGUUUUGGAUUUUAAAACAGCAAACAGAUUAGAAAUGUUAAGGAGUUAAAAUCAACAAAAAACUAAUGUGGAUCAAGACAUCAUGAAAUCCAGCAGAGGCAGAUUUUUCAGAAUCGGGUAGAGGAGGCCAAGAACUGUAAUUAUCCCACAGGGUAUUCCACAGGCCUGGCUUCUGAAUCCCAGCGGAAGAAAUAUAUGAUGUUAAGAGAACUGUAGGACUUGCAGGAAAGCAAAGAAGAGUCUCGGCAAUUUUAUCAAAGGGUAGGAGCGUGCAACUUUUACAAAUAGUAAUCCUAAGACUAAAAUAUCUGCGUUUGAAUCCUGACUCUGUCAUUGAUUGGCUGGGUUGUGUGCCUGUGUGUGUGUGUGUGUGUGUGUGUGUGUGCGAUCCAGUAAGCAGGUUUUAUUACAAUUUAUAACUGAAUUUUCUCAUUCACACAGGGUCCACCUUUAUGGUGACACACCACAGGAUUGUAGCUAUGCAGGAAAAUUUUAAAGCCAUAAAAUAAAUAAUGUCUGGACUCUAGAAAAGAUGGUACAUUUAUAACAGUUAUGCAGACUAACAUAGCAAAAAAUAAGUGGCCACAAAACUUUGUAUUUUUCUUUAGUAUUAUGCCUACUCAACUUGUAAAAGACUGGCCAUGUCAUAAUGUUUGUAGUUUCUAAACCAUGUUUUUGGAAACACAGAGGACAUCAGUGUUAUGCCUAUUCAAAUUAUAAAAGACCCGGCCACUUGACAAUGCCUGUAGUUUCUAAACCAUGCUUUCCAAAUUGCAAAGGGGGCAGGUACAGCCCAUAACUUUACAGAAUGGCAAGUAAUGUUCUACCUUUUGUUGAAUAAUUGGCUUAUUUCACUUGACGUAAGUUUUU